CGGUGAACUUGUGCCUAUGGCAUGCACUCUCAACAGCUUUCUGAGGGUUUGAUAAGUUAUCCUUCAUGAGUGGCAUUGUGUGCAUGCGGUGAUCUUGUAUCUGUAGCAUCUAGUACUUCUCGUCUUCGUGCAAGAGGCAUUAUGUACCGGCGGCGAGCUUGUGCCUGUGGCAUGCACUCUCGGUGGCCUUCUGAGAGUUUGAUAAGUUAUCUCUUAUGAGUGACAUUGUGUGCCUGUGACGAUCUUGUGCCUACGGCAUCUAGCACUUCUCAUCUUCACACGAGAGGCAUUAUGUACCGACGGCGAGCUUGUGCCUGUGGCAUGCACUCUCGGUGGCCUUCUGAGGGUUUGAUGAGUUAUCCUUCAUGUUAGUUGACUAUCAUUAUGGUUCAUGAUCUCAAGU
RNAcentral lists this long non-coding RNA (403 nucleotides) under Elaeis guineensis (African oil palm). Its description in RNAcentral is "long non-coding RNA (EGUI_LNC046720)". The record is from RNAcentral. Lineage: Eukaryota; Viridiplantae; Streptophyta; Magnoliopsida; Arecales; Arecaceae.